This 77-nucleotide small nucleolar RNA is filed under the name Erythranthe guttata (spotted monkey flower). Its description in RNAcentral is "Mimulus guttatus (spotted monkey flower) Small nucleolar RNA Z102/R77". It matches the Rfam family "Small nucleolar RNA Z102/R77". From Rfam's summary of the family: Z102 and R77 and are members of the C/D class of snoRNA which contain the C (UGAUGA) and D (CUGA) box motifs. Most of the members of the box C/D family function in directing site-specific 2'-O-methylation of substrate RNAs. Lineage: Eukaryota; Viridiplantae; Streptophyta; Magnoliopsida; Lamiales; Phrymaceae. The record is from Rfam by way of RNAcentral.
UGCUGAUAUGAUGACUAGAAUAACUUGAUAGCCAAUAUGAUGGUUAUUUAUCAUGUAUUAGCUCUAGCUGAUCAGGC